This 646-nucleotide ribosomal RNA is filed under the name bacterium SVAL1.43. RNAcentral describes it as "bacterial SSU rRNA". It matches the Rfam family "Bacterial small subunit ribosomal RNA", at positions 56 to 714 of the family's 1533-position model. The record is from RNAcentral.
UGCAGUCGAACGAUGAAGCCGGAGCUUGCUCUGGUGGAUUAGUGGCGAACGGGUGAGUAACACGUGAGUAACCUGCCCUUGACUCUGGGAUAAGCGUUGGAAACGACGUCUAAUACCGGAUACGAGCUAGGACCGCAUGGUCAUUAGCUGGAAAGAAUUUUGGUCAAGGAUGGACUCGCGGCCUAUCAGGUAGUUGGUGAGGUAACGGCUCACCAAGCCGACGACGGGUAGCCGGCCUGAGAGGGUGACCGGCCACACUGGGACUGAGACACGGCCCAGACUCCUACGGGAGGCAGCAGUGGGGAAUAUUGCACAAUGGGCGAAAGCCUGAUGCAGCAACGCCGCGUGAGGGACGACGGCCUUCGGGUUGUAAACCUCUUUUAGCAGGGAAGAAGCGAAAGUGACGGUACCUGCAGAAAAAGCACCGGCUAACUACGUGCCAGCAGCCGCGGUAAUACGUAGGGUGCAAGCGUUGUCCGGAAUUAUUGGGCGUAAAGAGCUCGUAGGCGGUUUGUCGCGUCUGCUGUGAAAACGCGAGGCUCAACCUCGCGCCUGCAGUGGGUACGGGCAAACUAGAGUGCGGUAGGGGAGAUUGGAAUUCCUGGUGUAGCGGUGGAAUGCGCAGAUAUCAGGAGGAACACCAAUG